CGGGCUGUAGCGCAGCUUGGUUAGCGCGCCACACUGGGGGUGUGGAGGUCGCCGGUUCAAAUCCGGCCAGCCCGACCA
This 78-nucleotide transfer RNA is filed under the name Bacillota bacterium. RNAcentral describes it as "Firmicutes bacterium (anaerobic digester metagenome) tRNA-Pro". It matches the Rfam family "tRNA". From Rfam's summary of the family: Transfer RNA (tRNA) molecules are approximately 80 nucleotides in length. RNAcentral also lists the same sequence under 2 other names. Lineage: Bacteria; Bacillati; Bacillota. The record is from RNAcentral.